AGUCUACUCAUAAAGUCGACAAUGGAUGCCUUGGCAUCAAAGACCGAGGAAGGACGCAUACGGCGGCGAUACUCGUCGGUAAGGAGCCAUAAUCCUGUGACCCGGCGAUUUCCGAAUGGGGCAACCCCUCCGUCGCAAGACGGAGAACCCUGCGUAAAAACGAUUCGCACCCUGUGAUUCAAACUGGACAAAUCAGUGAAAAUUAGUCCAAUUGGUUCAUGGAGUGCGGAUCGUAUAGCGCUUGGUGGGGCACCCGGGGAACUGAAACAUCUUAGUACCCGGAGGAAAAGAGAUCAACGAGAUUCCCUGAGUAAGCGGCGAGCGAAAGGGGAAAAGCCUAAACCGCUCGAGCAAUCGAGUGGGGUUGUAGGACGACUGACUUAAAUGUAAAGAGAGUCAAAAAACAGGUUGAUGGGAGAAAGCUUUGGAAUAGGUUGCCAAAGAGAGUGAAAGCCUCGUAUCCGAAAUUAACCUGUCUCUCUGUCUGUUCCUGAGUACCACGGGGCACGAUUAAACCCUGUGGGAAGCUAGGGCGACCACGCUCUAAGGCUAAAUAUCUUUGAUGACCGAUAGUGAACUAGUACCGUGAGGGAAAGGUGAAAAGCACCCCGGAAGGGGAAUGAAAAGAACCUGAAAUUGUCGACUAACAAGCAACCAGAGCCCCGAUUUUAUCGUGGUAAUGGUGUGCCUAUUGAAGAAUGAACCGGUGAGUUUUCGAUAAGCUGCGUUUAGUCUAAGUCGUCUAAAGCGACGAAGGCGGAGUGAAAGCGUGCCCUAAUUGGGCAAUUAGCAGCUGUCGGAAGACCCGAAACCGGGUGAGCUAACCCUGGGCAGGGUGAACCCCGAUGAAAAUCGGGGGGAGGCCCGCACCCGUAUCUGUUGCAAAAGGUUGGGAUGACCUGGGGUUAGAGGUAAUAUGCCAAUCGAACCCGGAGAUAGCUGGUUCUCCCCGAAAUAUAUUUAGGUAUAGCGCCCACCUAAGCUCUCUGGCGGUAGAGCACUGAAUGGGUGCGGCAGCGCAAGUUGUCGCAUUCAAUCAAACUCCGAAUACCAGAGAAAUUUUAGUGGGUAGUCAGAACAACCCGGCUAAGCGGGCAGUUCGAGAGGAAAACAGUCCAGACUCCCGUCUAAGGUCUCUAAAUCGAAAUUAAGUGGAGAAGGAGGUAGAAUCUUUCAGACACCUAGGAGGUUGGCUUAGAAGCAGCCAUCCUUUAAAGAUAGCGUAACAGCUCACUAGACGAAAGGUUCUGCGCCGAAAAUUUAUCGAGGCUCAAAUUUCGUACCGAAGACGGAGAUCUUGUCCGCAGGACAAGCGAGUUAACAAAGUAGAAAGUUCAUGAGGUUCAUAAAGUGAAAACUUUAUAAAUUUUAUAACUUUAUAAACUUUUGACUCUCUCGCCCUGCGGGUGAGGUAGUAGGGGAGCGUUCCUGUUGCGGUGAAACUCUGUCGUAAGGCAGGAUGGAGCGGCAGGAAGUGAGAAUGCCGGUAUGAGUAGCGUAAGUCCGGUGAGAAUCCGGACCGCCGAAUGCCCAAGGUUUCCGAAGCAACGUUUUUCGACUUCGGGUUAGUCGAUCCUAAGGCGAGUCCCCGCCUCUGGCGGGGGGUAGCUCGAUGGACAAGUCGUUUAUAUUCGACUACAGGGCUGUUUGGAUAAAGACGUAAAGGGGAAAACAAGUUGGAAGAAUCUGGCGAAGCGUGAAGAUGCUUUCGUCCAAGCUAUAAGGCAGUUUUGACAGGAAAAUCCGUCAGGACGUUUAACCGAGUGGCGAUGGAAAAUUCAAGGUAUUCCGAGGAUAAUCGGAUAAAUUUCAGCUUGCGAGAAAACACUCGUUACGGCAAACAGUUUUAUCGUACCGCAAACCGACUCUGGUGGGCUGGUCGAGUAGACCAAGGCGAUCGGGAGAAAGAGGCUCAAGGAACUCGGCAAAACAGCUGGGCGUAACUUAGGGAGAUGCCCUGACCCGCCUAUGGCGGGCCCUCAGCAAAAGACGCUUGUCGACUGUUUAACUAAAACACAGGUCUCUGCAAAGCCGAAAGGCAACGUAUAGGGGCCGACGCCUGCCCAGUGCUGGUAAGUCAAAAGUGAUGUGUGACCCCCGAUUUUUCGGGGGAGGCGUGUUACUUAAGCUCCAGUAAACGGCAGCCUUAACUAUAAGGGUUCUACGGUAGCGAAGUUCCUUGUCGGGUGAGUUCCGACCUGCACGAAUGGCAGAACGAGCAAGCGACUGUCUUGAGCCUUUCCCCGGCGAAAUUGCAAUGGCCGUGAAGAUGCGGCCUAGUUUUCCUUGGACAAAAAGACCCCGGGAGCUUUACUGCAACUUGGCACUGGAACGGUGUUUCUAAUUGUCGAGCGUAGGAGGGAGGUCGCCGCAAGGCGACCGUCAAUGGAACACCUCUCUUUGGAGAUAUCGAACCUUACUCCUUGGCCACAAAAAAAUCUGGCAGGAGGACAAUGUCUGGCGGGCAGUUUGAUUGGGGCGAUCGCCACCCAAAAGAUAACGGUGGCGUACAAAGGUCGGCUAAGCACGGAUGGAAAUCGUGCGGAUUGUGUAAAGGCCAAAGCCGGCUUGACUGCGAGACGAACAUGUCGAGCAGGUACGAAAGUAGGUCUUAGUGAUCCUCCGCACCCACGUGGAUGGGUCGGAGCUUAACGGAUAAAAGCUACCCCGGGGAUAACAGGCUGGUCGCCUCCAAGAGUCCAUAUCGACGAGGCGGUUCGGCACCUCGAUGUCGGCUCGUCGUAUCCUGGGGCUGUAGAAGGUCCCAAGGGUCGGGCUGUUCGCCCGUUAAAACGGCACGCGAGCUGGGUUCAGAACGUCGUAAGACAGUUCGGUCUCUAUCCAGGAAGACCGCGGGAGAUUUGAAGGGAGUCGACCCUAGUACGAGAGGACUGGGUUGAGGGAAUCCCUGGUGUGCCAGUUGUUCCGUCAGGAGCAGCGCUGGGUAGCUAGAUUCCUUCGGGAUAACCGCUGAAAGCAUCUAAGUGGGAAGCCUACCCUGAGAUAAGAUCUCCAACCCCGAGCAAUCGGGGGAUAGACCCCUUGUAGACUACAAGGUUGAUAGGCGGCCGGUGUAAGAUCCGUAAGGAUUUUAGCCUAGCCGUACUAAUCGGUCAAAGUAGACUAA
This 3127-nucleotide ribosomal RNA is filed under the name bacterium. RNAcentral describes it as "23S ribosomal RNA". It matches the Rfam family "Bacterial large subunit ribosomal RNA". The record is from RNAcentral.